Molecule: long non-coding RNA, 1208 nt
Filed under: Phascolarctos cinereus (koala)
Lineage: Eukaryota; Metazoa; Chordata; Mammalia; Diprotodontia; Phascolarctidae
Description: lncRNA (ENSPCIG00000032323.1)
Source: RNAcentral
GGGAUCACGAGAAAAGCUCUCAGACUGUGCAUGAGUGCUUGUUUGUUUUGGUGCUGCAGGUGGAAGUGAAAAUGGUAACAGGAGAGAAGGAGUGAACUUCGGACCCUUUGCAGAGUGAAAACAACAACAACAACACAAAGGCGUAGAGGCAGCAAUCUGGUUGGGCUUACAUCUCCUUUCCUGCGGUGCACUAAUUUUGAGUGACUGGGAGCUCGCAUCAGGUGGAAGGAGAUUGAGCCUCCUCCACCAGCCACCACACUAGAAAUAAAGAUGUCUAAACAAGAAGAAGAAGAAGAAGAAGAAGAAGAAGAAGAAGAAGAAGAAGAAGAAGAAGAAGAAGAAGAAGAAGAAGAAGAAGAAGAAGAAGAAGAAGAAGAAGAAGAAGAAGCAGCAGCAGCCGAAACCACCCAGCACAGUCCUCGGGGAAUUUUUUUUUUCCUCAGCUGCUCCCGCUAUAGCUGAGAGAUAGACUGGGGAAGGGGAUAUGGGGGUAAGCUGGCGGUUCACAUUCACCAUGAUAAAUGUAAAGACCAAUUAAGGUUUGAUCCGUGCACAGCGGAGGCAGACGGCGGUUGAUAUUGUAACCAAUUAACGAGCAUGUCCCCUAAUUCUUGCCGUCACCUCCGAGUGCAACACGCAUCUCUAGGCGUCUUCGGUGGCAGCCCCCUGCCUCGGAGCACACAGGUGAUGUAGGGGAGCCAGUCCCCUCGGCCAGGGUGUCGGGGCAAACGGCGUGUGCAGUCCGUGAGGUGGGGAGAGGGGAGUUGGCUGGGAGAGACAGAAGAAAAUGCAGGAAACCGCACCUGGCGGAUGCAAAUCAAAAGUGGUUGCGGCUAGGGCUGGCCAGGUGGGCAGUCUGUAAGUAAUUUGCUUCAGGCCUUGAGUCUGGAAGUGAAAAGGGGGGCGGGGGAGUAAGGCGUGGGAGUGAAAAGGCACCGGCCAAGGGAAGGAAUGGAGGAGGGGAGACCAAGAGGCCCGAAGAGGAGGAGGAGAAGGAGAUGGAUGUGGGGAGGAUUGGCGCCCUGGAAAGAGGACAGGUGCCUCGAGGAAGGAGGACAGGUGGCGAAGCAACAGCCCAGCUGAGGUCUCCAUCCACAACAUUCGUCAAGAGCCCCAGAGGGACUGAGGGUACCGGAUCCCCGGCGGAGAACCAGGGGAUGAGAAGGGAUUCCCUCCCCUGUGUUUCUUUGGGGUCCAUUCAAAAUUUG